AUGACUACUUCAUGUCUUCUAGGUCGAGUUGGAGAUCCCGGGUCACCCGGCCCGCACGGCCUUAAUGGAGACAGAGGACGGAUGGGAAUACCUGGCGCCCCAGGACUGCCUGGCAGAUCAAUACUCGGACUGCGGGGAGUUGUAGGUCAGAAGGGAGUUCCAGGAUGCAAGGGGGUCAGAGGAGAUCCAGGUCAGAUCUCUACAGAGAAACCCACACCUGGAGAACCUGGAAAACCAGGGCGCCCUGGAUUCAGGGGACCUAAAGGACAGCAAGGUGUUCCAGGUACCAGACAACAGUGUUUCUGUCUCUUAGUGUUGUACACUUGUAGGUACCUGCAGGGCCAGACUGCAGAUAUUAACAGCAGGUAUGGGAUGUGUCACUGUCCCAGUUGAUUUUUUUUCUUAAUAAUCACUCAAAAAAACACCCUUGUUUUUCUCCCACUGACUUCCUGUAUAUCUUUUAAGGUACCUACUGUCUCCCUGGAGCCUCAGGACCACCUGGGGACCCAGGUGUGUCAGGGCCCACAGGGUUUCAGGGCUCACUGGGAAUUAAAGGUCAGUUGUUGGAGAUAUUGACUGAAUUUGUGACUUUUAGAGGGUGGAAGACUGAUGAGCUGCUUUUAGCCUUGAUGUGAAAUAUGUGCACACUCAGGCCACGUCACAUUAGCACAGUUUGGGUUUGCUAAAUGAGGAAAGAAGAGAUUAAAAACUAACACCCCUGUCCACAUUGUGCUACGUGAAUCAUGCAGUGGUCAGUUUAUAAACAUCAACUGAUGAAGUAAUUUAAAAAAGGCAGUCUGACCUUUUUACUGCCAGAAACCAAAGAUAUCAUCACCAUGCUAAAGUCAUCGCUAGCUGUUUCCUUUAGGUUCUCAUUGUAAUUUAUCCAGAUGAGUUUUAUUGGAUGCAACUGGGUUACUUCUGGCUAAUGCUAACUUACCAGCUAACCACUUCCAGCUACCCAAUGAAGAGUAUAACCUUAACUUGCUUCCUCACUCAUGUUGUUGCUGUGAAGCCUUAGACGGUACAUGGAUUUAGCUUUGAGAUGUCGCUCACGGAUGUGUGAAGACUUCAGCUGAGGACGUCACGGUCGCCAGCACUCGUCAUAUUCUGUUUGAUCUUUCGAUAUGUGUCUGAGUGACUCUGAUUGUGAAACCGCACACUGUGGCUCACAAAUUGUGACUGAGGUAUUAACCAAUGAGCAUGCUCCUAAAUAACCCUCCUCUCUUAUUCUAAGAAUGAGCAUAAUUUAUAAAAACAGACUUAAUGUUUUAUUCAAAAUGGCCUCAAACUAGAGAAUGAGUUUGUAAAUGCAUUAAGGAAAUGUGUACUAACGUCUUCAAAGCGAGGGAGCAGAGGGCACUUUUCCCAUACACUUUGAUACAACUGGAAGUCUUUUGCAGUAACAGGUGUCGCCACCUUCAGCUGUGUCCUUCUGUUAUACUGUCUAUAGCAAAGACAUCCUAUUUUGGCCUUGAGUCCUUGUUGCGCCGACAGCCAGUCGUAGUGACGUUAUUAAUCACUCAGAUCAUUUUGCUAAUGUUUGCUGGAAGUGCUCAAUAAGGGUUAGAGAUCGAUCUAACCCUAAUUUCUGUGUUUUAGGUAGUUGUGGUGGCUGUUCUUGUGGCGUUCCUCUUGUACUAAGAGGUGCACCUGGCCCUAUGGGUGACUUGGGAUUUCCAGGGUUCCAAGGAUCCCCCGGACCCACAGGUCCUCGGGGAGAGUACGGUGUUCCCGGAGACACAGGAGAGACUGGUGAGCAGGUAAAGCAACUGAGCAACAAGGUCAGAGGUCAUCUGAGCAGCCACCACUGCUCUGUUUGUUUGACUGACUGCUUUGUUUACAGGGUCGGGCCGGAUUCCCGGGUUUCAAAGGCUUUAAAGGACAGAAAGGAGAUUUAACGGUGGAGGAUAUUGAAGGUGAGUCACAGUCUGUGCAGCUGUCUCCCAGGCACACUUGAACAUUAUUGACAGUAACUUCAACAUAACCUCCUGUGAAUACUGCUCCUUUGUCUCCAGGUGAGAAGGGAAACAAGGGACAGCAGGGCCCUGCAGGCAGACAAGGGUUCCCAGGAAGAAGAGGACAGACUGGGCCCCCAGGGGUCCCUGGAAAUCCCGGUUUCCAGGUCAGUCGGGUUAGAAGAUAGGAGGAAUGAGGAUUGGAGGGUGUUGUUCAAGACUGGAAAGAGCGAAAUAUGAGAAGCAAUAAUGUGAAAGAGUUUC
This is a long non-coding RNA of Oreochromis niloticus (Nile tilapia), 2222 nucleotides long. Lineage: Eukaryota; Metazoa; Chordata; Actinopteri; Cichliformes; Cichlidae. The record is from Ensembl.